This 1110-nucleotide long non-coding RNA is filed under the name Calidris pugnax (ruff). RNAcentral's name for it is "lncRNA (ENSCPUG00000012095.1)". Lineage: Eukaryota; Metazoa; Chordata; Aves; Charadriiformes; Scolopacidae. The record is from RNAcentral.
GUUUGGGGCGAGGGGGUGGUGGGGGGGUGUCCCCGUGUGCCCCUCUCUCACCCCACUGCAGCACCCAGCGUGUCCCCAGCGUGUCCUCGGGGAUUUGGGGGUGACUCUGGGUGCUGGUGUCCCCCUGCCUGGCUCCCCAGAGUGUCCCCAGGGAUUUUGGGGUGACUCUGGGUGCUGGUGUCCCCCGCUGUGUCCCCAGCAUGUCCCCGGGGAUUUUGGGGUGACUCUGGGUGCUGGUGUCCCCCUGCCUGGAUCCCCAGCAUGUCCCCUCACCGUGUCCCCAGAGCUUUGGGGUGCUGGUGUCCCCCUGCCUGGCUCCCCAGUGCCCUGGGGGAUUUUGGGGUGACUCUGGGUGCUGGUGUCCCCCGCUGUGUCCCCAGGAAUUUGGGGGUGACUCUGGGUGCUGGUGUCCUCCUGCCUGGCUCCCCAGCAUGUCCCUGGGGAUUUUGGGGUGACUCUGGGUGCUAGUGUCCCCCACUGUGUCCCCAGAGAUUUUGGGGUGACUCUGGGUGCUGGUGUCCCCCUGCCUGGCUCCCCAGCACGUCCCCUCACCGUGUCCCCAGAGCUUUGGGGUGCUGGUGUCCCCCUGCCUGGCUCCCCAGCACGUCCCCUCACCGUGUCCCCAGAGCUUUGGGGUGCUGGUGUCCCCCUGCCUGGCUCCCCAGCAUGUCCCUGGGGAUUUUGGGGUGACUCUGGGUGCUGGUGUCCCCUGCUGUGUCCCCAGGGAUUUGGGGUGACUCUGGGUGCUGUGAGUGUCAUGGUGUGUCCCUCAGGUGCCGUGGGUGCCACCCCCCACCCUGGCCCCUUGUUCCCCCCCCUCCUCUCCCUCUUUGUGUCCCCACAGUGGGGUGCCCAGCCAGGUGCCGGCGGCGUCCCCCUCUGCCCACAACAUCAGCCAGGGCCCCGGGGUGCCAGUGGGUCACCAGUGGGUGCUCAGGGUGCUGUGGGGUGUCAGUGGGUCCCCAGGGUGCUGGCAUGUCCCCAGGGUGCCAGUGGGACACCAGUGGGUCACCAGUAGGUCCUUGGGUGCUGUGGGGUGCCAGCAGGUCCCCAGGGUGCUGGCAUGUCCCCGGGGUACCAGUGGGUCCUUGGGGUGCUGUGGGGUGCCAG